AACGAACGCUGGCGGCGCGUCUUAAGCAUGCAAGUCGAACGGCAAGAGAGGAGCUUGCUUCUCUCCUAGAGUGGCGGACUGGUGAGGAACACGUGGGUAAUCUACCCUUAAGAUGGGGAUAGCUGCUAGAAAUAGCAGGUAAUACCGAAUACACUCGGCAUAUCACAAGAGGUGUUGAGGAAAGGAAGCUACGGCUUCGCUUGAGGAUGAGCUUGCGUCCCAUUAGCUAGUUGGUGAGGUAAAGGCCCACCAAGGCGACGAUGGGUAUCCGGCCUGAGAGGGUGAACGGACACAUUGGGACUGAGAUACGGCCCAAACUCCUACGGGAGGCAGCAGCUAAGAAUAUUCCGCAAUGGACGGAAGUCUGACGGAGCGACGCCGCGUGGAUGAAGAAGGCUGAAAAGUUGUAAAAUCCUUUUGUUGAUGAAGAAUGAGGGUGAGAGGGAAUGCUCAUCUGAUGACGGUAAUCGACGAAUAAGCCCCGGCUAAUUACGUG
RNAcentral lists this ribosomal RNA (496 nucleotides) under uncultured bacterium. RNAcentral describes it as "partial 16S ribosomal RNA". It matches the Rfam family "Bacterial small subunit ribosomal RNA", at positions 29 to 507 of the family's 1533-position model. The record is from RNAcentral.